CAGCCGCCGCGGGAAUACGAAGGGUGCAAGCGUUAAUCGGAAUUACUGGGCGUAAAGCGUGCGUAGGCGGUGAGUUAAGUCUGCUGUGAAAUCCCCGGGCUCAACCUGGGAAUGGCAGUGGAUACUGGCUCGCUAGAGUGUGUCAGAGGAUGGUGGAAUUCCCGGUGUAGCGGUGAAAUGCGUAGAGAUCGAGAGGAACAUCAGUGGCGAAGGCGGCCAUCUGGGACAACACUGACGCUGAGGCACGAAAGCGUGGGGAGCAAACAGGAUUAGAUACCUCAGUAGUCCCUGUCUCUUAUAC
RNAcentral lists this ribosomal RNA (301 nucleotides) under uncultured bacterium. RNAcentral's name for it is "partial 16S ribosomal RNA". It matches the Rfam family "Bacterial small subunit ribosomal RNA", at positions 509 to 807 of the family's 1533-position model. The record is from RNAcentral.